CACGUGAGCAACCUACCGAACUGUGGGGGAUAGCCGGCCUAACGGCCGAGUAAUACCGCAUACGCUCUCAGUGAGGCAUUUCAUUGAGAGGAAACCUACGGGACAGAUCGAGGGGCUCGCGGCCUAUCAGCUAGUUGGCGAGGUAACGGCUCACCAAGGCAACGACGGGUAGCUGGUCUGAGAGGACGAUCAGCCGGAUUGGGACUGAGAUACGGCCCAG
Molecule: ribosomal RNA, 220 nt
Filed under: uncultured bacterium
Lineage: Bacteria
Description: partial 16S ribosomal RNA
Rfam family: Bacterial small subunit ribosomal RNA
Source: RNAcentral